Molecule: ribosomal RNA, 393 nt
Filed under: uncultured bacterium
Lineage: Bacteria
Description: partial 16S ribosomal RNA
Rfam family: Bacterial small subunit ribosomal RNA
Source: RNAcentral
AUACGGAGGAUCCGAGCGUUAUCCGGAUUUAUUGGGUUUAAAGGGAGCGUAGGUGGAUUGUUAAGUCAGUUGUGAAAGUUUGCGGCUCAACCGUAAAAUUGCAGUUGAAACUGGCAGUCUUGAGUACAGUAGAGGAGGGCGGAAUUCGUGGUGUAGCGGUGAAAUGCUUAGAUAUCACGAAGAACUCCGAUUGCGAAGGCAGCUCACUAGACUGUUACUGACACUGAUGCUCGAAAGUGUGGGUAUCAAACAGGAUUAGAUACCCUGGUAGUCCACACAGUAAACGAUGAAUACUCGCUGUUUGCGAUAUACAGUAAGCGGCCAAGCGAAAGCAUUAAGUAUUCCACCUGGGGAGUACGCCGGCAACGGUGAAACUCAAAGGAAUUGACGGGG